UACGAAGGGGGCUAGCGUUGCUCGGAAUUACUGGGCGUAAAGCGUGCGCAGGCGGUUCGUUAAGUUCGAUGUGAAAGCCCCGGGCUCAACCUGGGAACUGCAUUGGAAACUGGCGAGCUUGAAUGCGGCAGAGGGGGGUGGAAUUCCGCGUGUAGCAGUGAAAUGCGUAGAGAUGCGGAGGAACACCGAUGGCGAAGGCAGCCCCCUGGGCCGACAUUGACGCUCAGGCACGAAAGCGUGGGGAGCAAACAGG
Molecule: ribosomal RNA, 253 nt
Filed under: uncultured bacterium
Lineage: Bacteria
Description: partial 16S ribosomal RNA
Rfam family: Bacterial small subunit ribosomal RNA
Source: RNAcentral